CAAUAGCGUAUAUUAAAGUUGUUGCGGUUAAAAAGCUCGUAGUUGGAUUUCUGCUGAGAACGACCGGUCCGCCCUCUGGGUGUGUAUCUGGCUCUUUCUUGGCAUCUUCUUGGUGAACGUUGCUGCACUUGACUGUGUGGAGCGCUACCCAGGACUUUUACUUUGAGGAAAUUAGAGUGUUUCAAGCAGGCAUACGCCUUGAAUACAUUAGCAUGGAAUAAUAAGAUAGGACCUCGGUUCUAUUUUGUUGGUUUCUAGAGCUGAGGUAAUGAUUAAUAGGGAUAGUUGGGGGCAUUCGUAUUUAACUGUCAGAGGUGGAAUUCUUGGAUUUGUUAAAGACGGACUACUGCGAANGNAUUUGCNAAGGAUGUUUNCAUUG
Molecule: ribosomal RNA, 379 nt
Filed under: uncultured eukaryote
Lineage: Eukaryota
Description: partial 18S ribosomal RNA
Rfam family: Eukaryotic small subunit ribosomal RNA
Source: RNAcentral